CAUGCACACAAACAGUCAUGAGCAUGUGCACUCACCCACACAGUGCUUGAGAUCAGAUUUGGGACAUAGAGAACAAGUGUUUUGACAGGACUGCACUUUUGAAGCUUGUUGGCUCAACUCACAGAACUUGUGGUGACACAGCCUGGAAACAGAUGAGAUUCUCUACGCAUGAAGAAAUGCAUCUAUGGAUAGAGACAAGAUGCUAAAUAUGACAUGUAUUAUACACUCCCUGCACCUGGAUGCUUCACAAGGAAUGAUGGAGGACUUCAUUUCGAG
Long non-coding RNA from Haplochromis burtoni (Burton's mouthbrooder), 276 nucleotides. RefSeq lists it as uncharacterized. The transcript is spliced from 4 exons. NCBI's taxonomy places the organism in Eukaryota, Metazoa, Chordata, Actinopteri, Cichliformes, Cichlidae. The record is from RefSeq and is a predicted model, not a curated record.